Long non-coding RNA from Tachysurus vachellii, 806 nucleotides. RefSeq lists it as uncharacterized. Lineage: Eukaryota; Metazoa; Chordata; Actinopteri; Siluriformes; Bagridae. The transcript has 2 exons. The record is from RefSeq and is a predicted model, not a curated record.
ACACUACUACAGAGUUAUUGUGUGGAUUUUACUUCUGGAGUCAGAUGGAGAUUUUCUGGAAAAUACAUUUUGGUCUAAGAUGCAUAAAUAUGUUAAUCAGAGAGAAUUUUAAACUUGAUAGAUUUGUUUAAUAUCUUGGAAAUUCUCAGGAGAAUCUCAUCACUACUCCAUCAUUCAUUAUUUCUCAUCCAGUCAAAACAUUUAGACAUACAACUGUGUUCUGUAAAUAUGACAAUUACUGAACUUUGUGUGUGUGUGUGUGUGUGUGUGUGUGUGUGUGUGUGUGUGUGUGUGUGUGUGUUCACUGUAGUGUGACAGAGGUUUUUGUACGACGCCUUCAUAGGAAUGUAUCACUGUGGUACACUUUUGGUGGAGGAACUAAACUCUUUAUAAAAACUGGUCCGGUGGUGAAGCCCUCCGUGUCUCUGCUCCCUCCCUCUUCUCUGCAGCUCUCUGAUGGAACGGCCUCUCUGCUCUGCCUGCUCUCUGCCUAUUCUCCACAGGGGGCGCUGCCGAGCUGGACCGUGGACGGUGCCGAGGUGAACGAGGGGGUUCUGACCAGCACAGAAGAACAGAAGGACGGCAUCUACAGCCGCAGCAGCACCCUGACCCUCAGUAAAGAACGCUGGGAAGAGGCCGAGGUGUUCGGCUGUACCGUCUCCCACCACGACACCACUCAGGUCGCCUCGUUCAGAAAGAGCCGCUGUGAAGUCCACUAGAAUUCAAGUGUACACUUUAAACCAUGCUUAGCAGUCUGAGGUGAUGUCAGUGUGUAGCUAUGCUGAAAUAAAGCUUCUAUGUAGAAA